This 463-nucleotide ribosomal RNA is filed under the name uncultured bacterium. Its description in RNAcentral is "partial 16S ribosomal RNA". It matches the Rfam family "Bacterial small subunit ribosomal RNA", at positions 28 to 507 of the family's 1533-position model. The record is from RNAcentral.
GACGAACGCUGGCGGCGUGCUUAACACAUGCAAGUCGAACGGUGAACCUCUUCGGAGGGGAUCAGUGGCGAACGGGUGAGUAACACGUGGGCAACCUGCCCCCGGCUCUGGGAUAACUCCAAGAAAUUGGGGCUAAUACCGGAUGUUCACCGCUUCCCGCAUGGGUGGUGGUGGAAAGGGUUUCCGGCUGGGGAUGGGCCCGCGGCCUAUCAGCUUGUUGGUGGGGUAGUGGCCUACCAAGGCGACGACGGGUAGCCGGCCUGAGAGGGUGACCGGCCACACUGGGACUGAGACACGGCCCAGACUCCUACGGGAGGCAGCAGUGGGGAAUAUUGCGCAAUGGGCGGAAGCCUGACGCAGCAACGCCGCGUGGGGGAUGACGGCCUUCGGGUUGUAAACCUCUUUCAGCAGGGACGAAGCGCAAGUGACGGUACCUGCAGAAGAAGCACCGGCCAACUACGUG